CCUCCUCCUUGGCCCGUCUCUCCGCCGUCUUAGCAUCCACCUCCGCCUCCGCUGCCCCCAGCUCCGAAGCCAGCUUGGCUCGCUCCGCUGCCCCGCCCUCUGUCACGCGCUUGAUCCAUGAUUGCACACGCUGGGAGGCCGCCAGCGUCAAUGCCGUAUUGCCGUACGCGUUCUUAAAGCUGGUGUGUGCGUUGUGUGUGAGCAGCAAGCCCACCACCUUAGGUCGACCGCAAGGCGGGAGGCGGAGGGAGAAGGGAAGGAAG
Molecule: long non-coding RNA, 263 nt
Filed under: Volvox carteri
Lineage: Eukaryota; Viridiplantae; Chlorophyta; Chlorophyceae; Chlamydomonadales; Volvocaceae
Description: long non-coding RNA (VCAR_LNC002546)
Source: RNAcentral